This is a non-coding RNA of Vicia faba (fava bean), 285 nucleotides long. NCBI's taxonomy places the organism in Eukaryota, Viridiplantae, Streptophyta, Magnoliopsida, Fabales, Fabaceae. The record is from the annotation of a GenBank genome assembly.
AUGACAUAUGGUUUUAUAGAUUAUUAUAUAAUUAUUAGUAUACAAAAAGUUAUCCCGCUAUUCGGGAUUCCACUAUUCCAACUAUUUUCACUUUUGGAGGUCGGCUGCUCCGCUCCGCUAUCCGGGAUUAAUAACUCUGUCCACAGUUCUAAAAUGUUAUUCGAGCCAGAUUCAAGAAUUAAGAUCCGUUGGACCCACCUGCUCUCUACUUUCUGCUAUCACGUUAUCCACCAUUUAUAUCCACACUCUAGAUGUCUAGUAUUUGGAAAUGCCGCAAUUAGGUGA